GUCUAGCUAAUGAGUCCCAAAUGGGACGAAACGUGCGUUCUGGAU
Non-coding RNA from Schistosoma rodhaini, 45 nucleotides. NCBI's taxonomy places the organism in Eukaryota, Metazoa, Platyhelminthes, Trematoda, Strigeidida, Schistosomatidae. The record is from Rfam.